Molecule: ribosomal RNA, 768 nt
Filed under: Triticum aestivum (bread wheat)
Lineage: Eukaryota; Viridiplantae; Streptophyta; Magnoliopsida; Poales; Poaceae
Description: partial small subunit ribosomal RNA
Source: RNAcentral
AUGCUCUUGCUGAGGCUUUCGAGAAGCUCGCUAAGAUCCUCGCCGAGUCCAACUCUGGGGCCAUCGUUCCUCGAGGAAGUGGCUCAAACCAAUUAUUUGAGCUGGUCCAAGAGGGCUUUGUGGGCUGUGGAGCAGAAGGAGCUUGAUGGACAUUUGUUGGGCACCGUUGUAGAACCAGGGGACAAGAGUAGUGCAGAGGGCAAGAGGUGGAAGGUCAUCCACUCUGUACUUAUGGUGUGGUUGUUGAACUCCAUGGUGCCCUCCAUUGGACGCUCUGUGGAGGGGCUAUCCACACCUGCUGAGAUAUGGAAGAUUCUAUCCACCCAUUACUCUGGCAAGGGCAAUGUCAUGCUUAUUGCUCAGAUUGAGGACAAGAUUAGGUUGCUGCAAGAUGAUGGCAUGUCAGUGAUGACAUACGUGGCAGAACUGCAGGCUUUCUGGGCUAACCAGGAUAACUGUGAUCCCCUGGAACUCUAUGACGCGGCUUCAAUCGAGUCAAGGCACAAGUGGAUGGCACGCAGGCGUGUACUGAAAUUUUUGGCUGGCCUCAAAAGUUGCUUUGAUGCCGGGAAGGCUUCCCUGUUGCACCAACCUAAUCAGCCUACCAUUCCCGAGGCUAUUGCAGCGAUGACUCAAGAGGAGGUGCGCCUAUCUCUUGAGCAUGCAGACGUGAAGGUUGUGCCAGCUUCGACCUUUGCAGUCACUGAGCGCAUGGAGUGUGGAGGUAGGUCACUGGAAGAGAGAAUGUCCAACUCGUGGCAGAGGUAG